GAUGAAGAACGUAGCGAAAUGCGAUAAGUAAUGUGAAUUGCAGAAUUCAGUGAAUCAUCGAAUCUUUGAACGCACAUUGCGCCCGUCAGUAUUCUGGCGGGCAUGCCUGUUCGAGCGUCAUUACGCCCCUCAAGUCCCCUGUGGACUUGGUGUUGGGGAUCGGCGAGGCUGGUUUUCCAGCACAGCCGUCCCUUAAAUUAAUUGGCGGUCUCGCCGUGGCCCUCCUCUGCGCAGUAGUAAAACACUCGCAACAGGAGCCCGGCGCGGUCCACUGCCGUAAAACCCCCCCACUUUUUAUAGUUGACCUCGAAUCAGGUAGGACUACCCGCUGAACUUAAGCAUAUCAAUAAGCGGAGGA
RNAcentral lists this unclassified non-coding RNA (358 nucleotides) under soil metagenome. RNAcentral's name for it is "partial contains 5.8S ribosomal RNA, internal transcribed spacer 2, and large subunit ribosomal RNA". The stretch from base 1 to 120 matches the Rfam family "5.8S ribosomal RNA", at positions 35 to 154 of the family's 154-position model. The record is from RNAcentral.